GUGCUCCCCCGCCAAUUCCUUUAAGUUUCAGCCUUGCGGCCGUACUUCCCAGGUGGCUCGCUUCACGGCUUCCCUGCGGCACCAGACACGGUCGCGCCAUGCCUGACACCUAGCGAGCAUCGUUUACGGCUGGGACUACCCGGGUAUCUAAUCCGGUUCGUGCCCCCAGCUUUCGUCCCUCACCGUCGAACCCGUUCUGGUAAGACGCCUUCGCCACAGGUGGUCCCACAGGGAUUACAAGAUUUCACUCCUACCCCUGUAGUACCUCUUACCUCUCCCGGUUCCAAGCCUGGCAGUAUCCCCCGAAAGCCUAACGGUUAAGCCGUCAGAUUUCCCGGAGGACUGACCAAACCGGCUACGGACCCUUUAGACCCAAUAAUCACGAUCACCACUCGGGCCGCCGGUGUUACCGCGGCGGCUGGCACCGGUCUUGCCCGGCCCUUGCUAACAGGUGUAUUUUACACACCUGGACAGCCAGCAUAUGAUGCUGGCACUCGGUGUCCCCUUAUCACGGUUUCCCGCAUUGUAAAGUUUUCGCGCCUGCUGCGCCCCGUAGGGCCUGGAUUCAUGUCUCAGAAUCCAUCUCCGGGCUCUUGCUCUCACAACCCGUACCCGUUGUAGGCUAGUAGGUACAUUACACCCACUACUACCUGAUAGGCCGCAGACCCAUCCUUGGGCAGACGAAUCCAUUUUACGCAUAAAGCAUUCCAGCAUAUGUGCGUUAUCCGGAAUUAUCCCCAGUUUCCCGGGGUUAUGCCGGACCCAAGGGCAGGUUAUCCACGUGUUACUGAGCCGU
Molecule: ribosomal RNA, 796 nt
Filed under: uncultured Methanosarcinaceae archaeon
Lineage: Archaea; Methanobacteriati; Methanobacteriota; Methanomicrobia; Methanosarcinales; Methanosarcinaceae
Description: partial 16S ribosomal RNA
Source: RNAcentral